UUCAGACAGAACACAGACGUACAUAAAAAACAUAAAGUAACUUACGGGUAAGCGAACACUGCGCCAUAGGUUUAGACAGAGUGCAUACAUACAUAUACAGUAGAAUACAGAUUUUUGCAUAUCAUGAAAAAGCAAAAGACAUCAAGAUCUAACUAAAUGAAAAAAGCAUAGACGUGAUAAGGGCGCAGCUUUAGUUUGAAAAGUUAAAAGUUUGUAUACAGAAAAAUCACGAAUAUGAUAUCUAACUGGCAGUUGGAUUUCUUUUUUUUUUUUGAAUGUUGUUGAAAUGGAUGCGAAAAAUAAACAGGUUGACAAACGUGUAGAGAUUUUAGAAGUAGCAAAAGUAAUUUUUAUGAAUUUUUGUGGGAAGCAGUUGUGGCAAAUAAUUGUAUUGUAGUUCAUUAUAACAAAUGCACCAAGUUGUAUUAUCAGUUUGGUUGUUAUACAUGCUGUUUAACAUGUCUAUUCUUUAAAAGAACAGUUAAGUAUUGCACAUAGCAACCAAAAAAAAGUAGAAGAAGAGAAUGAAGACAUGAAUAAACAGCUUCUUGAAUUAGUCAUAAAAAAAGAUAAACUGCAAGCUGAUUUCAGCCAGGUGGAAAUUUUAAAUUCAAUUAUUGUGGAAUUGCAGCAAAAAAACUAUGAUCUAGAUGAAAAAAUCAAAAUAUUGACAUAUGGUGAUUAUAUGAUUUAUGAUAGUGAUGAUGUGAUUUAUAUUGGCUAUAAUGAUCGUAUUUGGUCAUACUGAAGAAAACUGUGAUGACGAGCAGACGUUUUAGUGAGUUCAAUGAUGGCCUUAGUGUUAAUUUCAGUGUUUUCUCGUUUCGUCUUAUUCACUGACAAACGCAUUUAUUUUUAAAAUGCUAAUAAACUCUCGAAAAAAAAUGAUUGGCCAUUUACCGUUUCAUCAUCAAAAGAAAUGAAUUUGUAAAAAUGUGAAUGGUUACUAAAGAAAAUUUUUAUAUAUAUAUAUACGUUUUUGUAUUAUUUUAUACAUUACAUUCAUUUCA
Hydra vulgaris (swiftwater hydra) is the source of this 1010-nucleotide long non-coding RNA. RefSeq lists it as uncharacterized. Lineage: Eukaryota; Metazoa; Cnidaria; Hydrozoa; Anthoathecata; Hydridae. The record is from RefSeq and is a predicted model, not a curated record.